Molecule: ribosomal RNA, 240 nt
Filed under: uncultured bacterium
Lineage: Bacteria
Description: partial 16S ribosomal RNA
Rfam family: Bacterial small subunit ribosomal RNA
Source: RNAcentral
UACGAAGGGGGGCUAGCGUUGCUCGGAAUUACUGGGCGUAAAGGGAGCGUAGGCGGAUAGUUCAGUCAGAGGUGAAAGCCCAGGGCUCAACCUUGGAAUUGCCUUUGAUACUGGCUGUCUUGAGUAUGGGAGAGGUUAGCGGAACUCCGAGUGUAGAGGUGAAAUUCGUAGAUAUUCGCAGGAACACCAGUGGCGAAGGCGGCUUACUGGUCCACUAACUGACGGCUGAGGCACGAAAGC